CUCCAGGCUUGGUCCAAUGCUCAUUGAAGUCAUGGAGAAUCUUUACACUGACUUCACUGAGCUUUGGACCAGGUUUCAUGAGAA
Molecule: microRNA precursor, 84 nt
Filed under: Alligator mississippiensis (American alligator)
Lineage: Eukaryota; Metazoa; Chordata; Crocodylia; Alligatoridae
Description: microRNA ami-mir-1677a precursor
Source: miRBase by way of RNAcentral